GUCUAUGGCUAUACUACCCUGAACGCGCCCGAUCCUGUCUGAUUUUGGAAGCUAAGCAGGGUCGGGCCUCGUUAGUAAUUGGGUGGGAGAACAGUAACUUGUUUAACCAUGUUGACU
Ribosomal RNA from Cavia aperea (Brazilian guinea pig), 117 nucleotides. NCBI's taxonomy places the organism in Eukaryota, Metazoa, Chordata, Mammalia, Rodentia, Caviidae. The record is from Ensembl.